AGAGUUUGACUCGCUCCAUGAAUAAGCGGCGGACGGGUGAGUAAUGCCUAGGAAUCUGCCUGGUAGUGGGGGACAACGUUUCGAAAGGAACGCUAAUACCGCAUACGUCCUACGGGAGAAAGCAGGGGACCUUCGGGCCUUGCGCUAUCAGAUGAGCCUAGGUCGGAUUAGCUAGUAGGUGAGGUAAAGGCUCACCUAGGCGACGAUCCGUAACUGGUCUGAGAGGAUGAUCAGUCACACUGGAACUGAGACACGGUCCAGACUCCUACGGGAGGCAGCAGUGGGGAAUAUUGGACAAUGGGCGAAAGCCUGAUCCAGCCAUGCCGCGUGUGUGAAGAAGGUCUUCGGAUUGUAAAGCACUUUAAGUUGGGAGGAAGGGCAGUAAGCUAAUACCUUGCUGUUUUGACGUUACCAACAGAAUAAGCACCGGCUAACUUCGUGCCAGCAGCCGCGGUAAUACGAAGGGUGCAAGCGUUAAUCGGAAUUACUGGGCGUAAAGCGCGCGUAGGUGGUUCAGCAAGUUGGAGGUGAAAUCCCCGGGCUCAACCUGGGAACUGCCUCCAAAACUACUGAGCUAGAGUACGGUAGAGGGUAGUGGAAUUUCCUGUGUAGCGGUGAAAUGCGUAGAUAUAGGAAGGAACACCAGUGGCGAAGGCGACUACCUGGACUGAUACUGACACUGAGGUGCGAAAGCGUGGGG
This 700-nucleotide ribosomal RNA is filed under the name bacterium Y8. Its description in RNAcentral is "bacterial SSU rRNA". It matches the Rfam family "Bacterial small subunit ribosomal RNA", at positions 74 to 766 of the family's 1533-position model. The record is from RNAcentral.